RNAcentral lists this ribosomal RNA (741 nucleotides) under uncultured bacterium. RNAcentral describes it as "bacterial SSU rRNA". It matches the Rfam family "Bacterial small subunit ribosomal RNA", at positions 8 to 744 of the family's 1533-position model. The record is from RNAcentral.
AGAGUUUGAUCCUGGCUCAGGAUGAACGCUAGCGGCAGACUUAAUACAUGUGAGUCGAGGGGCAGCGGAUCCCUCCGGGGAUGCCGGCGACCGGCGAACGGGUGAGUAACACGUAUGGAACCUGCCCUUAACUGGGAAAUAGCUUUGAGAAAUCGAAGGUAAUGUCCCAUACCAUCUGAAGAAGGCAUCUUUUUCAGAUGAAAGCUCCGGCGGUUAAGGAUGGCCAUGCGGUCCAUUAGCUUGUUGGUGAGAUAACCGCUCACCAAGGCUGCGAUGGAUAGCUGAUCUGAGAGGAUGAUCAGCCACAUUGGCACUGAGACACGGGCCAAACUCCUACGGGAGGCAGCAGUAGGGAAUCUUGGUCAAUUGGCGAAAGCCAGAACCAGUCAUGCCGCGUGCAGGAUGAAGGCCCUACGGGUCGUAAACUGCUUUUAUUCGGGAAGAAAAAGUCUGUUUCCACAGACCUUGACGGUACCGAUUGAAUAAGGACCGGCCAACUCCGUGCCAGCAGCCGCGGUAAUACGGAGGGUCCAAGCGUUAUCCGGAUUCACUGGGUUUAAAGGGUGCGCAGGCGGCUAAGUAAGUCAGUGGUGAAAGCCUUCGGCUCAACCGGAGAAUUGCCAUUGAAACUACUUAGCUUGAGUGCAGUAGAGGUAGGCGGAAUGUAGCAUGUAGCGGUGAAAUGCAUAGAUAUGCUACAGAACACCGAUAGCGAAAGCAGCUUACCACACUGUAACUGAC